Molecule: long non-coding RNA, 682 nt
Filed under: Panax ginseng (ginseng)
Lineage: Eukaryota; Viridiplantae; Streptophyta; Magnoliopsida; Apiales; Araliaceae
Description: long non-coding RNA (PGIN_LNC000029)
Source: RNAcentral
AAAAAAAAGACGCCUAUAAAUUCCUAGCUUCUCUACUACUUAACUUACAUUAAAAUUCACCUCAACAAUCUUUCUCUAUCAUCUACUUUCUUUAUCUAGCCUGUUGAUUCUCUCUGUAUACGCUUUCUCUCUCUAGAAAUCUACAAUGGCGUUGAAGGGAAUCUCUGGUGCUCUGUUCUUCUUAAUCCUAGCGGUGGCCGCAACGUACACCACCUCCGUGGCGGUAGCGCAAGAAAUCGAUCUGGCUCCGGCCCCGGCGCCGAUAAUGAUGCAAUCCGCAGUCGGUUACCCGGCGAUGUCUGGUGCAUUCGCUUUCAUUUCGCUGUUCUUGUCAUUCGUUUCCCUAAUUUUGCAGUAAAAGAGGCAUUCAGAGAUUUAUAUAGAUAUAUUUAAUUAUAUAUGUUAUAUAACUAGAUUUGGGGGUUUUGAUCUAUGGGAAUGAUGAGUGUUUAUGAGAAUGAGAUUGGAGAUGCUCUAUUUGUUAUUCUUUUGGCCCUAAUUUCGGGUUAGGGUUUUAUUUAUUAUUGUAUGGUCUUAUGAUGUACGGAUUUUUAUUAAGAGUUAUAUUCUAUUUAUUUAUUAUUUACUGUCUUUCCAGUUCGCUAGUUGUUUCUUAGCUUAGUUUUGGUUCAUACUCUAAUUUGCUUACAGUUUUCUAAUUUGGUUCAUACUCUAAUUUUUG